This 1284-nucleotide non-coding RNA is filed under the name Shewanella mangrovi. Its description in RNAcentral is "Bacterial large subunit ribosomal RNA". It matches the Rfam family "Bacterial large subunit ribosomal RNA", at positions 1217 to 2486 of the family's 2925-position model. Lineage: Bacteria; Pseudomonadati; Pseudomonadota; Gammaproteobacteria; Alteromonadales; Shewanellaceae. The record is from Rfam by way of RNAcentral.
UUGUAUGUGCGGUAGAGGAGCGUUCUGUAAGCGGUUGAAGGUGAAGGGGUAACCCACACUGGACGUAUCAGAAGUGCGAAUGUUGACAUGAGUAACGAUAAUGGGGGUGAAAAACCUCCACGCCGAAAGACCAAGGGUUCCUGUCCAACGUUAAUCGGGGCAGGGUGAGUCGACCCCUAAGGCGAGGCUGAAAGGCGUAGUCGAUGGGAAACGGGUUAAUAUUCCCGUACUUCUGCUAACUGCGAUGGAGAGACGGAGAAGGCUAGGCCAGCGCGGCGUUGGUAGUCCGCGUUUAAGGUAGUAGGUGUUGUGCUUAGGCAAAUCCGGGCACAUUUACACUGAGAGCUGAUGACGAGUCACUAAGGUGAUGAAGUGGUUGAUGCCAUGCUUCCAGGAAAAUCUUCUAAGCUUCAGGUUAGUAGGAAUCGUACCCCAAACCGACACAGGUGGUCGGGUAGAGAAUACCAAGGCGCUUGAGAGAACUCGGCUGAAGGAACUAGGCAAAAUGGUACCGUAACUUCGGGAGAAGGUACGCUGCCGGCGGUGAAGGACUUGCUCCGUAAGCUGCUGGCAGUCGCAGAUACCAGGUGGCUGCAACUGUUUAUCAAAAACACAGCACUGUGCGAACUCGCAAGAGGAAGUAUACGGUGUGACGCCUGCCCGGUGCCGGAAGGUUAAUUGAUUGGGUUAUCUUCGGAGAAGCUCAUGAUCGAAGCCCCGGUAAACGGCGGCCGUAACUAUAACGGUCCUAAGGUAGCGAAAUUCCUUGUCGGGUAAGUUCCGACCUGCACGAAUGGCGUAAUGAUGGCCACGCUGUCUCCAGCCGAGACUCAGUGAAGUUGAAAUUGCGGUGAAGAUGCCGUAUACCCGCGGCUAGACGGAAAGACCCCGUGAACCUUUACUAUAGCUUGGCACUGAACAUUGACCCUGCAUGUGUAGGAUAGGUGGGAGACUUUGAAGUUGGGACGCCAGUCCUGAUGGAGUCAACCUUGAAAUACCACCCUUGCAGUGUUGGUGUUCUAACCUUGGUCCCUUAUCGGGAUUAGGGACAGUGCCUGGUGGGUAGUUUGACUGGGGCGGUCUCCUCCUAAAGAGUAACGGAGGAGCACGAAGGUUGGCUAAGUACGGUCGGACAUCGUACGGUUAGUGUAAUGGCACAAGCCAGCUUAACUGCGAGACAGACACGUCGAGCAGGUACGAAAGUAGGUCAUAGUGAUCCGGUGGUUCUGAAUGGAAGGGCCAUCGCUCAACGGAUAAAAGGUACUCCGGGGAUAACAGGCUGAU